Molecule: ribosomal RNA, 759 nt
Filed under: uncultured actinomycete
Lineage: Bacteria; Bacillati; Actinomycetota; Actinomycetes; Actinomycetales
Description: bacterial SSU rRNA
Rfam family: Bacterial small subunit ribosomal RNA
Source: RNAcentral
GCAUAACUUGAGUACUGUAGGGGAGACUGGAAUUCCUGGUGUAGCGGUGAAAUGCGCAGAUAUCAGGAGGAACACCGGUGGCGAAGGCGGGUCUCUGGGCAGUAACUGACGCUGAGGAGCGAAAGCAUGGGUAGCGAACAGGAUUAGAUGCCCUGGUAGUCCAUGCCGUAAACGGUGGGCGCUAGGUGUAGGGGUCUUCCACGACUUCUGUGCCGUAGCUAACGCAUUAAGCGCCCCGCCUGGGGAGUACGGCCGCAAGGCUAAAACUCAAAGGAAUUGACGGGGGCCCGCACAAGCGGCGGAGCAUGUGGAUUAAUUCGAUGCAACGCGAAGAACCUUACCUGGGCUUGACAUAUACGGGACGGGGCCAGAGAUGGUCCUUCCCUUGUGGCUCGUAUACAGGUGGUGCAUGGUUGUCGUCGGCUCGUGUCGUGAGAUGUUGGGCUAAGUCCCGCAACGAGCGCAACCCUUGUCUCAUGUUGCCAGCACGUUGUGGUGGGGACUCGUGAGAAACUGCCGGGGUCAACUCGGAGGAAGGUGGGGAUGACGUCAAAUCAUCAUGCCCCUUAUGUCCAGGGCUUCACACAUGCUACAAUGGUCGGUACAGUGGGUUGCGAUACCGUGAGGUGGAGCUAAUCCCUUGAAAGCCGGUCUCAGUUCGGAUCGGGGUCUGCAACUCGACCCCGUGAAGUCGGAGUCGCUAGUAAUCGCAGAUCAGCAACGCUGCGGUGAAUACGUUCCCGGGCCUUGUACACACCG